This 252-nucleotide ribosomal RNA is filed under the name uncultured bacterium. Its description in RNAcentral is "partial 16S ribosomal RNA". It matches the Rfam family "Bacterial small subunit ribosomal RNA", at positions 524 to 776 of the family's 1533-position model. The record is from RNAcentral.
UACGGGGGGGUAAGCGUUGUUCGGAAUUACUGGGCGUAAAGGGCUCGUAGGCGGCCAACUAAGUCAGACGUGAAAUCCCUCGGCUUAACCGGGGAACUGCGUCUGAUACUGGAUGGCUUGAGUGUGGGAGAGGGAUGCGGAAUUCCAGGUGUAGCGGUGAAAUGCGUAGAUAUCUGGAGGAACACCGGUGGCGAAGGCGGCAUCCUGGACCACGACUGACGCUGAGGAGCGAAAGCCAGGGGAGCAAACGGG